UUCUGUAUUCUCUUUCUAUAUUCCAUGCACUCACAUAUACGGCAGAUCUAUAGGUAUGUAUGUGGGUAGAUGUUCUAAAGUUUCUAAUGGAAAAUCUCAAGUUAAAGCCAAUAGUACAAUAGGGAAUCUUGAAGAUAAACAUGAAUAGGAUUGCAAGGGCAGUUUGGUUAUGUAGAUCCAACAUGGAGGAAGCAUAGAAAGUCUAGAUUCACAAGUUUAAUGAUCAAUACUUGAAUCCAGAUCCAUAGCAUCUUUUGAGAAUGGAGAAAUUAAGGAAUAAGAAGCUGGAUCCUUCCAUCAUAAGGCCUUAUGCAGUGGUGGGACAAAGCCCAAGCCAGGAGGGAAAGGAAUCAAAUUGUGGAGAGGCAAAGACACCAAACUAUAUGGUUCUUUUUUCUUCAAAGUUUUCUGCUAGAACAAAUAGCAUUAAUCAUGGCAGGAAGCUUUAGAUGUCCAACAAUCACAUCCUUUUGGUGAUGAAAACCUGCAAAUGGCUCUGUGGAAUGGACUUUAACUCAAAGCAGAGAGAGAGUGGCUAGACAAUGUUCUCCUGGAUGCACAGAGGUAUGAUGAUGAUGACCAUUUCCAGUUUAUAAUCUAAAGGCUUUUACCUUGGUUUAGAAUCAACAUAAAGCUCAUAGUUUGUGGAAAUCACCCAAUUGUCACUAGCUUCUCACACCAAAGCAUUUGGCCUGGAACCACCAACAGGUUAGCCAAAAAGAUUGCAAAUCUUCUAUCAUCUUUUUUGUCUAUGAGGUUGUGCUAUAUAUUUGUGGUAAGAAUAAGAACUUUACACAUAUCUUCUUUGUAAUUCCCUCUUGUUUUUCUUUUGUAGGGCAUUAUCAUUCCAGAGGCUAUGCACGUAUCGAUAGAAAGCAUUUUGUGAUGCUAGAAGCCAUUCUUGAAGCACUAGAGAGAUGGUGCGUGGCUUGCUGAAAAUUCACAAUGGCUGGAUUUAAAUACAAGGAUAUGCAGUGUCAUUAAUAGAAGUCUUUGCUCAUCUGCGAUAAUUUUUGUCAU
Molecule: long non-coding RNA, 1020 nt
Filed under: Selaginella moellendorffii
Lineage: Eukaryota; Viridiplantae; Streptophyta; Lycopodiopsida; Selaginellales; Selaginellaceae
Description: long non-coding RNA (SMOE_LNC002082)
Source: RNAcentral